UCGUCGGGCCGACGAUACAUUGAGCGGGGGUGGAUUGUAGCGGUGUGGAAUAGUGCACCUGUGCCUUUAAGGGCUCUACUCUCCAGUCGUUGUCAUUAGUAAACUGAGUGGACACAGCGGGGUGGGCUCUUUAUAAGGUGACUGCCACCGUGGGCCAGGUAUGCAGCAGGGGUUGAGCUAGUCGUUUGGCUUUUCCGGUGGUGGUGACUCUUCCGGUCAUUAGGCUGUUCCGGUCGGUGGUUCUCUCCUGGGUGGCAGCCGGUUUUGAGAUUUCGCUCCGGUACAGAGGAUUAUCGAUCGCUCUGCGUUGUGUUGUGUUGUGCUGUGCUGUGCUGUGCUUUGCACUGGGUGCGUUCUAAGGGCUUUGCGCCCCUGAGUGUUUUUGAUCAUCGUGACCGCAGUCACAUAGGUCUCGUGGGCAGACUCGUUCCCCCCCCCUCCCCACGCAUUGUUUGGUCGUCGUCCAGUGUGUGUGCUAACCCUUUCCGCUGUGGUUGUAGGGUGCUGAUCGCCAGGGUCAUCCUUUGCUUGCUGCUGUUUUGCCUCUGUUUGUUCUUCCUUAUUGAUUGCCGUGUCUUGUCAUUGUGUCUUGGUG
Molecule: long non-coding RNA, 595 nt
Organism: Sardina pilchardus (European sardine)
Lineage: Eukaryota; Metazoa; Chordata; Actinopteri; Clupeiformes; Clupeidae
Exons: 4
Source: RefSeq, a predicted model, not a curated record